This 1056-nucleotide ribosomal RNA is filed under the name Oenococcus oeni. RNAcentral's name for it is "bacterial SSU rRNA". It matches the Rfam family "Bacterial small subunit ribosomal RNA", at positions 1 to 1019 of the family's 1533-position model. Lineage: Bacteria; Bacillati; Bacillota; Bacilli; Lactobacillales; Lactobacillaceae. The record is from RNAcentral.
UUUAAAUUGRGAGUUUGAUCCUGGCUCAGGAUGAACGCUGGUGGCGUGCCUAAUACAUGCAAGUCGUACGCUAGCCGCUGAAUUGAUCCUUCGGGUGAAGUGAGGCAAUGACUAGAGUGGCGAACUGGUGAGUAACACGUAAGAAACCUGCCCUUUAGUGGGGGAUAACAUUUGGAAACAGAUGCUAAUACCGCGUAACAACAAAUCACACAUGUGAUCUGUUUGAAAGGUCCUUUUGGAUCGCUAGAGGAUGGUCUUGCGGCGUAUUAGCUUGUUGGUAGGGUAGAAGCCUACCAAGGCAAUGAUGCGUAGCCGAGUUGAGAGACUGGCCGGCCACAUUGGGACUGAGACACUGCCCAAACUCCUACGGGAGGCUGCAGUAGGGAAUUUUCCGCAAUGCACGAAAGUGUGACGGAGCGACGCCGCGUGUGUGAUGAAGGCUUUCGGGUCGUAAAGCACUGUUGUAAGGGAAGAAUAACUGAAUUCAGAGAAAGUUUUCAGCUUGACGGUACCUUACCAGAAAGGGAUGGCUAAAUACGUGCCAGCAGCCGCGGUAAUACGUAUGUCCCGAGCGUUAUCCGGAUUUAUUGGGCGUAAAGCGAGCGCAGACGGUUUAUUAAGUCUGAUGUGAAAUCCCGAGGCCCAACCUCGGAACUGCAUUGGAAACUGAUUUACUUGAGUGCGAUAGAGGCAAGUGGAACUCCAUGUGUAGCGGUGAAAUGCGUAGAUAUGUGGAAGAACACCAGUGGCGAAAGCGGCUUGCUAGAUCGUAACUGACGUUGAGGCUCGAAAGUAUGGGUAGCAAACGGGAUUAGAUACCCCGGUAGUCCAUACCGUAAACGAUGGGUGCUAGUUGUUAAGAGGUUUCCGCCUCCUAGUGACGUAGCAAACGCAUUAAGCACCCCGCCUGAGGAGUACGGCCGCAAGGCUAAAACUUAAAGGAAUUGACGGGGACCCGCACAAGCGGUGGAGCAUGUGGUUUAAUUCGAAGAUACGCGAAAAACCUUACCAGGUCUUGACAUACCAAUGAUCGCUUUUGUAAUGAAAGCUUUUCUU